AUACCAUUCACCUGUCCUA
RNAcentral lists this non-coding RNA (19 nucleotides) under Arabidopsis thaliana (thale cress). The record is from RNAcentral. Lineage: Eukaryota; Viridiplantae; Streptophyta; Magnoliopsida; Brassicales; Brassicaceae.